RNAcentral lists this long non-coding RNA (474 nucleotides) under Nicotiana benthamiana. RNAcentral describes it as "long non-coding RNA (NBEN_LNC030387)". The record is from RNAcentral. Lineage: Eukaryota; Viridiplantae; Streptophyta; Magnoliopsida; Solanales; Solanaceae.
GAAAACAUAUAGUAUAACAAAUUUGACCUUUCGUUUCUUUUCAUUUCCUUUCAUAACGAGCUCUCACCCCUUUACUCAGAAAAGUUAUUGUCUAUCACUUGUAUGGGUUAAAAUUUGGCUGCACAAUCACGGCGAUAAUGAUCCGUUCCAACUACCUUAUGAAAGUAAUCGACAAGAUUGACUUCGUCUCAUCAUUUUUUUUAAUACAAGCGACGAAGUAAAGGCCUCUUUACGACGGGAAAAACUUCCCCCACCUGACCAUGAUAAAUCAUGACAAGCAUGAGAAGUCUUCGACUAUAAAAGCAAGAUGAAAGAGUUGAAAGAGAGCUCUAGCCUCCCCUGGCUUCUUCUCCAAUACUCCAAUAGCCUGAAAGAUGCAGCAGAGCUCCGUAAUAGAAUCCUUGAUCUACGGGAAAGGAGGGAAACUCCAUUGUGGCUCACCCAAGAGGGAAGCAAUACGAUUGUAAUUUCCUG